AUCCGGGUUGCGGACAGUGUCUGGUGGGUAGUUUGACUGGGGCGGUCUCCUCCUAAAGAGUAACGGAGGAGCACGAAGGUUGGCUAAUCCUGGUCGGACAUCAGGAGGUUAGUGCAAUGGCAUAAGCCAGCUUGACUGCGAGCGUGACGGCGCGAGCAGGUGCGAAAGCAGGUCAUAGUGAUCCGGUGGUUCUGAAUGGAAGGGCCAUCGCUCAACGGAUAAAAGGUACUCCGGGGAUAACAGGCUGAUACCGCCCAAGAGUUCAUAUCGACGGCGGUGUUUGGCACCUCGAUGUCGGCUCAUCACAUCCUGGGGCUGAAGUAGGUCCCAAGGGUAUGGCUGUUCGCCAUUUAAAGUGGUACGCGAGCUGGGUUUAGAACGUCGUGAGACAGUUCGGUCCCUAUCUGCCGUGGGCGCUGGAGAACUGAGGGGGGCUGCUCCUAGUACGAGAGGACC
RNAcentral lists this ribosomal RNA (456 nucleotides) under Salmonella enterica subsp. enterica serovar Typhimurium. RNAcentral's name for it is "partial 23S ribosomal RNA". It matches the Rfam family "Bacterial large subunit ribosomal RNA", at positions 2238 to 2693 of the family's 2925-position model. Lineage: Bacteria; Pseudomonadati; Pseudomonadota; Gammaproteobacteria; Enterobacterales; Enterobacteriaceae. The record is from RNAcentral.